UCAUGGUUGCUGUGAGACUGUGGGUGCAGUGUCCGCUGCUCCAGGAGGAGGCUCUCCCUCCCGCGCACAUUUGCGCGGAGAAAAACGUCUUUGUUUGUGACACCAUUUUUGUACUGCAGAUCGAGAAUAGGCAUCUGUCCUCUGCAGCCAAAGCACACUGCGCCCCCAAGCAAGUUCAUAGUUCGAGCCGCUAGAACAGAGUUCCAAGUCGUCUCCCUUGGUUUCAGGGCCGCAGAUUUCCAGUUGCAAGAGCCUGUGACUGGAGAAGUAUGAAAAUUGGAGAACUGUGAAGGAUAUCCUGCUCUAUUGCUGGUUUUGAAGUUUAAAAAAAAAGGUCAACAAUCCCGGACACAAGGCUUCCGAUGUGUGGGCGGGUCUCGGGGAUAAGCAGGAUGUAUGCAGACCUUAUUCCCAACAUAAUAUGUGGAAAUGUUGUUAAAACUUUUUGACUGUAGUCACAAGAUGUCGCAAAGGAUUUUGAAGCAGUUUGCAUGCCUGAGUUUUUCCUCUUUAGAAAGGGAUCUAAGCCUGGCGAGAUUGUGUCCACAGUGCCAAACUGUGUCAACUAUUCAGAAAUCCAGUGUGGGAUGCAGCAUAAAGUGGCAUUCAGAGGCAAAGCAGUGAUUUUCAAUAGUACUCGGUUUUAGUUUUCUCAAGAUCAUAUUCUGAUUUGCUGUCAGAGAAUGCUGAAGAAGCAAAAACUCAGCUGCAUUCUCCCUUCUUCACAUACAGACUUGGUAAUUAAAUAUUUGCUUUAGGAUGAUGUAAAUUUCAAUGUUGUACUUGUACAAGCAUAUUUGUACUAGUUGGCAUGUUCUGUGAUACAAUCCCUUGGAUCAUCAACUAAAGUACAUUGUUACAUUGAUGCCAGGGAUGAUGAGAAAUUGUUUUCAAUACCUUUUUACAUAUAUAUUUCUUUUCAGUUGGUAUUUCUUUUCCAUCUGGUGUUUUAUUAUAUUCCCUAUUUAUAUAGAUGAUUUGGUGGAAAGAUGUUAGAAUAAGUGUGUUGGCCUAACUUGUUUACCUAAACUCUAUAAGGUGAGAAUAAUAAAGAGAUGUAUGUGUGCACGUGUACUGCAUUCCUGCGUCAUGGAUUUAUCUGCUCAGUUUGCUCAUGUUUUUUUUUGUGCUAGAUUGAGAAAGGCCAAAAGGUGUAGCAAUGGCCAAUGAGUGGUUGUAGUACAUGAUGGCUCAACUAGAAAUAAAGGCUUGAUCUGUCGUGUGUUUUAUUUGGAAGAAGAUUCAACUGACCUUGGACCUGCUAGAUUUUUCUAUUCCAAAUGAGGAUUAUAAUGGUAAUACUAACUGUUCUGUGCAAGGCUAAAAAUUGAGAAUUUUCAUAAUGGUAGUGAUCAUUGCUUGCAUUAUUUGCCAUUCUGGAAAAAUAGCAUUGUUGAAGCUUUUUGUAGGUCCGUGGUGCAUGUCACAUGACCAAAAGCGAUGAAUCUCUUGAGGUAAAUGGAGCAUCAGAUCUCUUUAGCUUUAGUAGACAGAGACUUAUUGGGAAUGGUGGUCCUUCUGCAUUCCUGUAAAUUUGUUGAUUCAUUUUGAUUUGCCAAUAAAAAUUUGGGUCAUCAGAAUGGCUUUUCAUUGUCUCAUAUCCCAUCAGACAACCGUCUUAUUCUUCUGGUCCCCAAUGCGGACACUGCAUUUGAUGGCAAAGCAUUUUCUUGGUUGAUUUUCAUUA
Molecule: long non-coding RNA, 1687 nt
Organism: Tripterygium wilfordii
Lineage: Eukaryota; Viridiplantae; Streptophyta; Magnoliopsida; Celastrales; Celastraceae
Exons: 7
Source: RefSeq, a predicted model, not a curated record